AACCUUGUUAGCCGAUCCUUUUCAUGCCCAUCACUUCUUCCAAAUAAGACAAUAUGCCAAAGAAAAAAUUGGGGCAGCUUUGUGGAUUUCACCACGCGUCUUCGCCCUGAAAUUCAUCAACCCAUAAUCUCGAGACUGGGACAGCCUUACGGAUCUCCUUUGAAUUUUCACCCUAAUUUUCAUGGAUCCAAACCCUAGCUCAUUUUCCCAAACAGCAAACCGGGGCAACUUUUGGUAUCUCAUGUUUUGUCUUGACACUCACAUAUUACAUCUCCUUUGGGGUUUGUAGUGCCCAUACGACUAUCCAAACCCUCAUAAACCUAUUUUGUUUUUCCCUUGCCAAUGAAUUCAAGCACGUGUACAUUAAUGUCUAGAAAGAAAAAGUCAAACAUAUAAUCAUAUCUGACAUUAGACC
RNAcentral lists this long non-coding RNA (415 nucleotides) under Vigna radiata. RNAcentral describes it as "long non-coding RNA (VRAD_LNC015840)". The record is from RNAcentral. Lineage: Eukaryota; Viridiplantae; Streptophyta; Magnoliopsida; Fabales; Fabaceae.